Molecule: ribosomal RNA, 253 nt
Filed under: uncultured bacterium
Lineage: Bacteria
Description: partial 16S ribosomal RNA
Rfam family: Bacterial small subunit ribosomal RNA
Source: RNAcentral
UACGGAGGGGGCUAGCGUUGUUCGGAAUUACUGGGCGUAAAGCGCGCGUAGGCGGACCUGCAAGUCGGGGGGGAAAGCCCGAGGCUCAACCUCAGAAUUGCCUUCGAUACUGGGCGUCUCGAGACCGGAAGAGGUGAGUGGAACUGCGAGUGUAGAGGUGAAAUUCGUAGAUAUUCGCAAGAACACCAGUGGCGAAGGCGGCUCACUGGUCCGGUUCUGACGCUGAGGCGCGAAAGCGUGGGGAGCAAACAGG